GUGAAUCAUCGAAUUUUUGAACGCAUAUUGCACUCUCUGGUAUUCCGGAGAGUAUGCCUAUUUGAGGGUCAUUUGAAAUAAUAUAAAUUCCAUGAUUUCUCGGUAUUUAAAAUGGGUUGUUCCUUUUUUGUGGUGGCCUAAAAUCAAAUACAACCUAAUUUUCUUGGGUUGCGUGAUACUUUCAGUUAUCACU
This 193-nucleotide unclassified non-coding RNA is filed under the name Archaeospora sp. RNAcentral describes it as "partial contains 5.8S ribosomal RNA and internal transcribed spacer 2". The stretch from base 1 to 71 matches the Rfam family "5.8S ribosomal RNA", at positions 84 to 154 of the family's 154-position model. The record is from RNAcentral. Lineage: Eukaryota; Fungi; Glomeromycota; Glomeromycetes; Archaeosporales; Archaeosporaceae.